Molecule: non-coding RNA, 25 nt
Filed under: Arabidopsis thaliana (thale cress)
Lineage: Eukaryota; Viridiplantae; Streptophyta; Magnoliopsida; Brassicales; Brassicaceae
Also listed under: 7 other names
Source: RNAcentral
GGUGGGGAGUUUGGCUGGGGCGGCA